This 314-nucleotide ribosomal RNA is filed under the name uncultured bacterium. RNAcentral's name for it is "partial 16S ribosomal RNA". It matches the Rfam family "Bacterial small subunit ribosomal RNA", at positions 495 to 807 of the family's 1533-position model. The record is from RNAcentral.
GUAUAAGAGACAGCAGUCGCCGCGGGAAUACGGAGGGUGCAAGCGUUAAUCGGAAUUACUGGGCGUAAAGCGCACGCAGGCGGUCUGACAAGUCAGAUGUGAAAUCCCCGGGCUUAACCUGGGAACUGCAUUUGAAACUGUCAGGCUGGAGUCUUGUAGAGGGGGGUGGAAUUCCAGGUGUAGCGGUGAAAUGCGUAGAGAUCUGGAGGAAUACCGGUGGCGAAGGCGGCCCCCUGGACAAAGACUGACGCUCAGGUGCGAAAGCGUGGGGAGCAAACAGGAUUAGAUACCCGUGUAGUCCCUGUCUCUUAUAC